Molecule: ribosomal RNA, 252 nt
Filed under: Daphnephila sp. SYY-2001-2
Lineage: Eukaryota; Metazoa; Arthropoda; Insecta; Diptera; Cecidomyiidae
Description: partial 16S ribosomal RNA
Source: RNAcentral
UAUUUUUAAUAUUUUAAUUUUAUAUUUAAGUUAAAAAGCUUUAAAUAUUAAUAUUAGACGAGAAGACCCUAUAGAAUUUUAUUAAUAUUAAAUAUUUAAAUUAAUAUAUUAUAUUAAUUGUUGGGGAGAUUAAAAAAUUUAAUAAACUUUUUAAAAUAUUCAUAAAUUUUUGUUUAUUUGAUCUUGUAUUAUGGAUUAUAAAAUUAAAUUACCUUAGGGAUAACAGCAUAAUUUUUAAAAUAAGUUCUUAUU